Molecule: ribosomal RNA, 710 nt
Filed under: uncultured bacterium
Lineage: Bacteria
Description: bacterial SSU rRNA
Rfam family: Bacterial small subunit ribosomal RNA
Source: RNAcentral
AGCGGCGGACGGGUGAGUAACGCGUGGGUAACCUGCCCUGUACACACGGAUAACAUACCGAAAGGUAUGCUAAUACGAGAUAAUAUGCUUUUAUCGCAUGGUAGAAGUAUCAAAGCUUUUGCGGCACAGGAUGGACCCGCGUCUGAUUAGCUAGUUGGUAAGGUAACGGCUUACCAAGGCGACGAUCAGUAGCCGACCUGAGAGGGUGAUCGGCCACAUUGGAACCGAGACACGGUCCAAACUCCUACGGGAGGCAGCAGUGGGGAAUAUUGCACAAUGGGCGAAAGUCUGAUGCAGCAACGCCGCGUGAGCGAUGAAGGCCUUCGGGUCGUAAAGUUCUGUCCUCAAGGAAGAUAAUGACGGUACUUGAGGAGGAAGCCCCGGCUAACUACGUGCCAGCAGCCGCGGUAAUACGUAGGGGGCUAGCGUUAUCCGGAUUUACUGGGCGUAAAGGGUGCGUAGGUGGUUUCUUAAGUCAGAGGUGAAAGGCUACGGCUCAACCGUAGUAAGCCUUUGAAACUGGGAAACUUGAGUGCAGGAGAGGAGAGUGGAAUUCCUAGUGUAGCGGUGAAAUGCGUAGAUAUUAGGAGGAACACCAGUUGCGAAGGCGGCUCUCUGGACUGUAACUGACACUGAGGCACGAAAGCGCGGGGAGCAAACAGGAUUAGAUACCCUGGUAGUCCACGCCGUAAACGAUGUGUACUAGCUGU